This is a long non-coding RNA of Equus caballus (horse), 5354 nucleotides long. NCBI's taxonomy places the organism in Eukaryota, Metazoa, Chordata, Mammalia, Perissodactyla, Equidae. The record is from Ensembl.
AUGAGACACGGUCUUAGCCUACUAAUAGCUCACAACAGCAUUCAGUGUUCAAUUCAAGGAACGAAAGCUAUUCUGGAUAUUUAAAGAAGAAAGGAUUUUAAUAUGGGGAUUGGAUGCUUGAAAACCAUUUCAAGGACUGGAGGCAUGGGUUGUAGGCACCAGUGGUGACUUCCAGCUGCUACCUCUGCACCAUCAGGAAGGUGGAAAUCAGGAGGCCUCAAAUCGAAUAUGGAGUUCCAGAUUCUAGAAUCUGUAACAUAUCACAUACUCUCAAUCUAGGGACCAGAGAGCCAGAACUGGGAAGCCGUUAUUGCUUCACUGAAAACUGACUCUUGACAAUCAUAGAACUGUUGACUAGUUACUGGAAUAUGAUGCAGAAAAACUUCGUGUCUCCACAACUGUGCUUGCCAGCAGGAAACAUCUAAAACAGCAAGAUUUCCUUUGUUUCAUUUCUACUUUUCAAAUCUCAUACGUGUGCGUCCACUGGUGGGACUCAAUUUGCAUUCGGAACCCUAUCUACAGGGAAGUCUGGGAAAUAGAAGAUGAGAGUGGUUAUUGGGAGAAGAACCAACAGUGUCUUCCACAGACUCAGGAACAUACAUGGGCACUGAAGGGUUAGAGGGAGCAUGCUGCACAAAGUAAAUAGGUCACAAAUAAGGGAGAUCACUUCUCCCUGGGGUUCACGGAAAGUGGCAGAGAAGAGACUCCUCCUGCUGGGUCUUGAAGAAUAUCCUGUAGAAGUUUGCCUCAAAGGGGGCUGAAGGGCAUUUGGGGCAGAGUAAGCAUUAGGAGUUAAGGCAAGCGUGUGAAAAAGUGUAGUGCACCUAGAAUCAGCCUGUGCUUUCUUUGUCCGGAACAGGAGGGAGAAAGAGGAGGGCACUGAGCAAUGAGGUCCAAGAAGUGGCAGGGCCCAGAUCAAGGCACACCUCAUACGCCAUGCUCAAGAGCUCAGAUUUCUCCUAGAAGUGAUAGGGGGACCUUCGGAAGGUUUUACACGGGGGAAUGACAAGACGAGAUGGGUUUUAGAAAGGUCACUGUGGAGGCUGUGCGGAAGAAGCACUGGAAUGGGGAGCAACUGGAAGAAAGAGAGCAGUUGGGAAGAUAUUGCAAUAUGGUAGACUAGACGUGGCUGGUACCUAAACUAGGACUAUGGAUGUUGGGAUGGGCAAGAGAGGGCUUGGAGUAUACGUGGAAGUUGAAUCAAUAGGACUUGAUUGAGCUGAAGUGGUGGGGAGCAAUUAUUGCGUGUAUGCUAUGUGCCAGGCUCUAUUCUAUACUGCAUGUAUGAACUCAUUCAAUCCUUACAAAACCCUAUGCAGUAGGUCCUAUUAUCAAUCACAUCUGCAGAUGUGGAAACUGAAGCACAGCUGGUAAGUGGUGGAGCUAGGAUUUGAAUGGAAACAAACACUCAACCACUUUGCUAUGAAACACCUCUGCUCUUAGUGAUAAAAUUUGCUUUCCUGUCCUUUAUGAAUUUGCAUUUCACUGUGAAUUCUGGUUUGGACCCUGACUCAGGAGUUCUUUUAACCUAGACAUUCAUGGAUGAAUUUCUGCAGGUCUAAGGAACCCUGAAAUUGUAAUCAAGUUUGUAUGUUUUUCAGCAUUUGUGUAUUAUUUUUCUGGAAGGAAUGGCCAGACUUAUCAAAUGAGUUACCAGGGGUUCUCAAAUGGGUUUCUGACCUAAGAAUACAUUUAAGAACUCUGCCUUAGAGGAAUGGUUCUCAAGGUGUGAUCCCUGAACCAGUAGCAUAAGCAUCUCCUGGGAACUUGCUAAGAAGGCAUAUUCCUGGCCCCUUCCAAGACCUACUGAGCCAGAAACUCUGAGGGUGGGCCCGGAAAUCUGUGUUAAUAAGCCUUCCAGGUGCUUCUGAUGUGUGCCCACGUUUGGGAAGCACUGCCUCAGAGCAAACACAAGCAUGAGUGAUGUGGCAGCAGGGGCUAUUCGCUGACCUGGGUGGGGCAUUCACAGUGGAUGUGGUGUCAAGGAGGGUAGGGAAAAUCUCAGAAGCCCAAGGUCUUCUGUGAGUGCUCUCAGGAAGGACAGAUGCUUUGAACUGAGCAGUAUUUUGGACAGGGCAUUCACUAAGGGCUUCUGCAGUCCUCAGGACAGGCAUUUCUGGAAGGUGCUGGGGUCUCGACUUGCAGCUGAGAAGAUGCAACCUGUAGACUCAUGCACCAAUCCCACAAUGCCUCGAGGCCAGUCUCCCCCUCUGUCGUAGUUUCUCCUGGGGCUGCAUUUUAGAUAUCUUGUUUCAUCCAAGUACACAGACCUCUAAUGACUUUUCCACAGAGGAUAACCUGCCUGGGCUCCCAGGGCAGUUAGCAUCCACUGACACCCUGGCUGCUCCCCACGAGCUGCCAGGGCCUCUGGUCCACACCUCACCCAGUUGACACUGCAGCCGUGCAGCCUGUGCAGGAUUCAUGCCCACAAUGCCAGUCUCUUUCUACAUCUUCCUGGGAGCGUGAAAGGGAACGAACGACCUGCGGCGCUGAGUGAUGGGAUUGGUGGGGGUUCCUGUUCCCCACUCCCCUGCUGCCCUCCCUCCAGACACCCAGGCUCAGGUCCGUCUUUCUGCAAAGUCACAAAACUGGAAAGCUCUUGGGGUAGGGAGAGAGCAUGUGCCUGCUGGUUGGCUUGGAAAGGUUCUGGGAAUUCAUUAUGAUCUAAACAACUAUUCCAGUCAUUCCUGUGACUCAGCGCCUGCCAGCAGGAUCUUCCUGUGUGCACGGGGCCGGGGGUUGCUGACUCAGUGCUGAGGAGGGCACCUUGUCAGCGCUCCUGGGCUCCCAGCUCCUCCUGCCUCCCCUUCGUCCCCAGAGGACACCAAAGGGAAGCAGGCAGUGGGGGGAGCUUCUCAGCGUGUCCAGUUUCACUUCUAAACCAGCAUCCAGCCUCCUCGAGUUACCACUCUGACCACGUACAUCUGUUAGUCUUCCGGGCACUUUGGCGAGGAAGCCAUCAGGAACAGUCACACAGGCAUCAUGCUUCACGUACCCAAUUAACACGUGUUUAGCCAGCACCUACUAUGCAUCCAGGACUGGGAUCCAGAGAGAUGUGACUGUAUCUACCCACAACUUUCAGAGGUCUGGCGGGGGAAAAGCCCUCGCAGUCCCGCAGGAAGUAAUGGAGAGAGUGCUGCAGCAGGGCUGUGGAGAGCCGGGGCCGCUGAGCAGCAAGCGAAGGGGAAACUGAGGCUUGGAGAAGUUAACUAACCUCUCUCCAAGGUCAUACAAGCGGUCGGUGAGGUAACAGGACUUCAGACCCAGAUCCCUCUGAAUUCACCGCCUGGGGCCUGUCCCCGGCACCACCUGCUGUUUCCAUUUUGAGUCCAGAUAUCAUCUGUCUUUAGUGUCUACUGUCUCAACCUCUGUAAAAUGGAACCUGAUAUUGUCAUGCAGGACUGUGAUCACUAUCUCCUGUAAUGUUAGAAUUAAAACACUUAAUCAUAACUCCAAGCAUACUUUCGUAGUCACUUAUUCAUUCAUUCAAUAAAUUUAUAUCGAAUAUUCAUCUCCUUGUGCCAGACUCAAGGCCCUGAGAACACAGCAGUCAAAAAGGCAGGCACUGGGGCCAGCCCCAUGGCCUAGUAGUUGAGAUCAGUGCACUAAGUUGUGGCAGCCCAUGUUGGUUCCGGAGUGUGGACCUACAGCACCUGUUAGCGGCCAUGCUGUGGUGAUGUGCCACAAACGAAACAGAGGAAGACUGGCAGUGGAUGUUAGCUCAGGGUGAAUCUUCCUCAAGCAAGAAAAAGAGGAAGACUGGCGACAAAUAUUAGCUCAGGGUGAAUCUUCUUCAGCAAAAAAAAAAAAAAAAAAGGCCAAAGAGGGAAGUGGAGAAAUCAAUGAAGGCUCCUGAAGGACGUGUCAGCUCCACCUGAAAACAGGAUGAGUUGGUAAUGUUGAGGAGGGCGGGGCGGGGAAGCACAGGACAGCCUAGGACUGUGUGUCCAUGUGGCCACUCGCCACCCCAGGCUGCGGAGCGAGGAAUGCUCAUCUGAACUGAGGUGCCCUAGGAGUAAAUGCGACCGGCUUUCAGACUCGCACUGAAAAGAACGUAAAACACCUCAUCAAUGUUUUGUAUUGAUUGCAUGUUGACCUGAUGAUAUUUUGGAUAUAUUGGGUUAAAUCAAAUGUAUUAUUAAAAUCAAUUUUACCUGUUUCUUUUUACUUUUUAAAAUGUGGCCACUAGACAAUGUUGAAUCGUGUGUGUAGCUCACGUUGUACUUUGAAAGGACGGUGCUGUCCUAGAAGGGCUGGGAGCCUCAGGGAGCAGGCACAUCAGAGCCGCUGUGGGGCACGAGGGGAGGAGAGAAAGAGGAUGCCGAAGGCUGGUAUGAACCUCCAACCUCUAUUCUGCGGAUCACACAGAGUGAUUUUAACCUCUGUGAACCCCAAAUCUGAGAUGCUGGGGCGCACUGACUUACUGGAAAUUGACUCUUCCUCCAAACCAGCUCUAGCUGUGAGCCAGGGAACGGUUAAUGCUCUUCGUGAGUCCCAUAUUGUAGAUGGAAGAGGCCAGAAAAAGCAGGGCAGCGACCUGGCCACAUGGCCGAGUGGUUAAGUUCGCAUGCUCUGCUUCGGCAGCCCAGGGUUUCGCGGGUUCAGAUCCUGGGUGCAGACAUGGCACCGCUCAUCAGGCCAUGCUGAGGGGGCGUCCCACACAGCAGAGCCAGGAGGACCUACAACUAGAAUAUACCACCAUGUACUGGGGGGCUCUGGGGAGAAAAAGAAGAAAAAAGAAGAUUGGCAACAGAUGUUAGCUCAGGGCCAAUCUUUAAGAAAAAGAAAAAAGAAGCAUCGGGGCAAAAACGUAAAGAAAUAGAGGAACAUCUUAGGGUAAAAAUCAAGCCCCUAACAGUGGCCCCCCAGUCCUGUACAUGGCUCCUGCCUGCCUGCUUCCCUCUCUGAUAUCUCUUACCUGGCUCCUCCCUUACCCCAUCUCUACUCCAGUUACGGUAACCUCUUUCCUGAGGCUUGAACAUACCAGACAUGCUCCUGCCUCAAGACCUUUACACUGGCUAUUCCCCUUGCCUGAAACAUUCUUCCUCCAGCUAUCACAUGGCCAACUACCUUAACUUGUGGUUCAAAUGUCACCCUCCAAUACGGCCUACCUUAACCAUCUUAUUUAAAAUUGCAACCCCCAUUGGUACUCUCUUACCUGACUCUUGUUUUUCUCCAUAGCAUUUAUUACCUUCUAACAUACUCAAUAAUUUACUCUUUUAUUAUGUUUCCUGUCAAUCUCCCUACUAGAAAGCACACUCCCUAAAGACACUGAUCUCAGUUUUAUUUCCUGCAUUAGCCCCAACACCCAGACAGUGCCUGGCACAGAGUAGCCACUGCUCAGUUAGCACUUU